CCCUUAGAUGUUCUGGGCCGCACGCGUGCUACACUGAGUGGAUCAGCGGGUCAGGUUGCGCGAAAGUGUUUCCUAAUCUUGAAAUCCGCUCGUGAUGGGGAUUGACGGUUGCAAUUUUCCGUCAUGAACGAGGAAUACCUUGUAAGCGCGGGUCAUCAUCCCGCGCUGAAUACGUCCCUGCCCUUUGUACACACCGCCCGUCGCUCCUACCGAUUGAGUGGUCUGGUGAGGCUUUGGGAUCUGAGCGGAAAGAGCGUUUCGCUGUUUCUGCUCGGAAAACUCAGUCGAACCUUAUCAUUUAGAGGAAGGAGAAGUCGUAACA
RNAcentral lists this ribosomal RNA (322 nucleotides) under uncultured eukaryote. RNAcentral describes it as "partial 18S ribosomal RNA". It matches the Rfam family "Eukaryotic small subunit ribosomal RNA", at positions 1470 to 1796 of the family's 1831-position model. The record is from RNAcentral.